Long non-coding RNA from Gallus gallus (chicken), 866 nucleotides. RefSeq lists it as uncharacterized. The transcript has 4 exons. The record is from RefSeq and is a predicted model, not a curated record. Lineage: Eukaryota; Metazoa; Chordata; Aves; Galliformes; Phasianidae.
GGAAGUCAAAUUUUUUUCAGGGUUUGAGGCCGAUCCUGUUAAAGAAUAACUGUGACAUCAGGGAGAAGUAUCUACUGGGGAAAAUACUCUGCAGGUUUUUGUGCUUUGUCUCAUCCAUACAACUUUGCAUUUGGACGAAAAGAGAUGUAAAUUGAUUCUGUUCUCACCUGGUAGCACUCCUGAUGCUAAUUGGGAAAGUGAUAAAAAUUGAUAUGUUGUAUGGACAAGUAGGGGCUGGAAUCUUCAGUUCACCAGUCCUGAGAGAUGCCGAGCAGUCACAUCUUCUGAUUGAGGUGGCAAUGGAGAGAACUGAACUUCUGGAGAAUCAAAUCACUCUACAGAGCAGAUCUUUGACAUUACGCCUUGCAAAAGUUACUAGGAGGCCUCUUAGACCUCAUGCUUUGGCUUUGGAUAUGGUUUGCCAUGUGGACAAUUGCCUUGGGCAGAAGCUGCUGGAACCUCCAUUCUCUCUUGCAACAAAUGGCUUUUUAAUCGUAUCUUCAGCUCAGUCAUAAACACAUCUUGCCCAUGUGGCGGUGUGAAUAUAGUCUCCAGAUGUUUGAAAAUGAAAUUCUCUAUAGAUGGGAACUGUCUAUGCACAAGCUUCAAAAAAUCAUUAAAAUAUAUGCUAAAAGACUCUACAGAAUAGAAUUUUCACAGACAUGGUGCCAGGCCUGGCCUGGCCUGGCUCUGGCUCUUCUUCAAGUUGAUGCAGAAAACCUAUUGCUUUCUUAUGAUCUUUUUUUUUUUUUUUUUUCUUUGUUAAAUAUACAAAAGAGCCAAAUGACCAAAAAUGUUAUAAACACAUUAAAACUGGUUUAGUAAAGAGGGUUAGACCCCACACAGAGAAUUUUCUGUAAGUAAAU